AGAGUUUGAUCAUGGCUCAGGAUNNACNNNGGCGGUAUGCUUUACACAUGCAAGUCGAACGGCAGCACAGCAGAGCUUGCUCUGUGGGUGGCGAGUNNCGGACGGGUGAGUAAUACAUCGGGACCUACCCAGACGUGGGGGAUAACCUCGGGAAACCGGGACUAAUACCGCAUACGUCCUACGGGAGAAAGCGGGGGAUCUUCGGACCUCGCGCGGUUGGACGGACCGAUGUGCGAUUAGCUAGUUGGUAGGGUAAAGGCCUACCAAGGCGACGAUCGCUAGCUGGUCUGAGAGGAUGAUCAGCCACACUGGAACUGAGACACGGUCCAGACUCCUACGGGGCGCAGCAG
Molecule: ribosomal RNA, 350 nt
Filed under: uncultured bacterium
Lineage: Bacteria
Description: bacterial SSU rRNA
Rfam family: Bacterial small subunit ribosomal RNA
Source: RNAcentral